This 460-nucleotide ribosomal RNA is filed under the name uncultured bacterium. RNAcentral describes it as "partial 16S ribosomal RNA". It matches the Rfam family "Bacterial small subunit ribosomal RNA", at positions 338 to 795 of the family's 1533-position model. The record is from RNAcentral.
CCUACGGGAGGCUGCAGUGAGGAAUAUUGGUCAAUGGACGAGAGUCUGAACCAGCCAAGUAGCGUGAAGGAUGACUGCCCUAUGGGUUGUAAACUUCUUUUAUAUGGGAAUAAAAUGUUCCACGUGUGGGAUUUUGUCUGUACCAUAUGAAUAAGGAUCGGCUAACUCCGUGCCAGCAGCCGCGGUAAUACGGAGGAUCCGAGCGUUAUCCGGAUUUAUUGGGUUUAAAGGGAGCGUAGGUGGAUUGUUAAGUCAGUUGUGAAAGUUUGCGGCUCAACCGUAAAAUUGCAGUUGAAACUGGCAGUCUUGAGUACAGUAGAGGUGGGCGGAAUUAGUGGUGUAGCGGUGAAAUGCUUAGAUAUCACGAAGAACUCUGAUUGCGAAGGCAGUUCACUGGACUGCAACUGACACUGAGGCUCGAAAGUGUGGGUAUCAAACAGGAUUAGAUACCCGGGUAGUC